UAGGGAAUCUUCGGCAAUGGACGAAAGUCUGACCGAGCAACGCCGCGUGAGUGAAGAAGGUUUUCGGAUCGUAAAACUCUGUUGUUAGAGAAGAACAAGGACGUUAGUAACUGAACGUCCCCUGACGGUAUCUAACCAGAAAGCCACGGCUAACUACGUGCCAGCAGCCGCGGUAAUACGUAGGUGGCAAGCUUUGUCCGGAUUUAUUGGGCGUAAAGCGAGCGCAGGCGGUUUCUUAAGUCUGAUGUGAAAGCCCCCGGCUCAACCGGGGAGGGUCAUUGGAAACUGGGAGACUUGGGUGCAGAAGAGGAGAGUGGACUUCCAUGUGUAUCGGUGAAAUGCGUAGAUAUAUGGAGGAACACCAGUGGCGAAGGCGGCUCUCUGGUCUGUAACUGACGCUGAGGCUCGAAAGCGUGGGGAGCAAACAGG
Molecule: ribosomal RNA, 429 nt
Filed under: Gemmatimonadota bacterium
Lineage: Bacteria; Pseudomonadati; Gemmatimonadota
Description: Gemmatimonadetes bacterium partial 16S ribosomal RNA
Rfam family: Bacterial small subunit ribosomal RNA
Source: RNAcentral